CAUAACUUUUUCAUUACUUUGAAAAGAAACCCCUCAGAUCUCGGAAGCAAAGCAGGGUCGGGCCUGGUUAGUACUUGGAUGGGAGACCACCUGGGAAUACCGGGUGCCGUAGGC
This 114-nucleotide ribosomal RNA is filed under the name Aotus nancymaae (Ma's night monkey). Lineage: Eukaryota; Metazoa; Chordata; Mammalia; Primates; Aotidae. The record is from RNAcentral.